Molecule: ribosomal RNA, 1372 nt
Filed under: uncultured bacterium
Lineage: Bacteria
Description: bacterial SSU rRNA
Rfam family: Bacterial small subunit ribosomal RNA
Source: RNAcentral
GAUGAACGCUGGCGGCGUGCCUAAUACAUGCAAGUCGAGCGAACGGACGAGAAGCUUGCUUCUCUGAUGUUAGCGGCGGACGGGUGAGUAACACGUGGAUAACCUACCUAUAAGACUGGGAUAACUUCGGGAAACCGGAGCUAAUACCGGAUAAUAUUUUGAACCGCAUGGUUCAAAAGUGAAAGACGGCCUUGCUGUCACUUAUAGAUGGAUCCGCGCUGCAUUAGCUAGUUGGUAAGGUAACGGCUUACCAAGGCAACGAUGCAUAGCCGACCUGAGAGGGUGAUCGGCCACACUGGAACUGAGACACGGUCCAGACUCCUACGGGAGGCAGCAGUAGGGAAUCUUCCGCAAUGGGCGAAAGCCUGACGGAGCAACGCCGCGUGAGUGAUGAAGGUCUUCGGAUCGUAAAACUCUGUUAUUAGGGAAGAACAUAUGUGUAAGUAACUGUGCACAUCUUGACGGUACCUAAUCAGAAAGCCACGGCUAACUACGUGCCAGCAGCCGCGGUAAUACGUAGGUGGCAAGCGUUAUCCGGAAUUAUUGGGCGUAAAGCGCGCGUAGGCGGUUUUUUAAGUCUGAUGUGAAAGCCCACGGCUCAACCGUGGAGGGUCAUUGGAAACUGGAAAACUUGAGUGCAGAAGAGGAAAGUGGAAUUCCAUGUGUAGCGGUGAAAUGCGCAGAGAUAUGGAGGAACACCAGUGGCGAAGGCGACUUUCUGGUCUGUAACUGACGCUGAUGUGCGAAAGCGUGGGGAUCAAACAGGAUUAGAUACCCUGGUAGUCCACGCCGUAAACGAUGAGUGCUAAGUGUUAGGGGGUUUCCGCCCCUUAGUGCUGCAGCUAACGCAUUAAGCACUCCGCCUGGGGAGUACGACCGCAAGGUUGAAACUCAAAGGAAUUGACGGGGACCCGCACAAGCGGUGGAGCAUGUGGUUUAAUUCGAAGCAACGCGAAGAACCUUACCAAAUCUUGACAUCCUUUGACAACUCUAGAGAUAGAGCCUUCCCCUUCGGGGGACAAAGUGACAGGUGGUGCAUGGUUGUCGUCAGCUCGUGUCGUGAGAUGUUGGGUUAAGUCCCGCAACGAGCGCAACCCUUAAGCUUAGUUGCCAUCAUUAAGUUGGGCACUCUAAGUUGACUGCCGGUGACAAACCGGAGGAAGGUGGGGAUGACGUCAAAUCAUCAUGCCCCUUAUGAUUUGGGCUACACACGUGCUACAAUGGACAAUACAAAGGGCAGCGAAACCGCGAGGUCAAGCAAAUCCCAUAAAGUUGUUCUCAGUUCGGAUUAUAGUCUGCAACUCGACUACAUGAAGCUGGAAUCGCUAGUAAUCGUAGAUCAGCAUGCUACGGUGAAUACGUUCCCGGGUCU